GGCACCGCAGCAGGGGUGCGGAGAGGGACUGGGGGCGGGUGAGUACUGCUCCCGCAGCUCUGCUGGCCCUCUCUCUGCCCCGAGCUGUGCCUGGACAAUCCUCCUCGUCCUCCCGGCCCCCGCUCGCCAAUGCUGUGGCCUGCACCUGCAUCGCUCUCUGGGAACCUCGGAGACCUCAACUCCUUCGUACUGGUCUUACCCCUUCGUACUGGUCGGGGUUUACUGCAGGUCCACCUCCCCUAGGCCAUGGCCAGGUGGGGGAAGGUCACUCCAGGACGCUAGUGACUCUGCCCAGCUCUGCUCCGCCUCUCUGCUUAUGCACCUGCCGCCCCCUCGCACUCUCUGCCACUGCGGUUGCAGUUCCGGCCCGUCCCUCUUCUGCAGGCCAGCCCAGCGGGCAGCCUCGGUUCCUGACUCCUGGUCUGUGCUUGUGGGCGGCCUGAACCACCUCAAUCCGGACAAUUGCCAAACCCACCCUGGGCUGUAGCUGGGAACCGGUUGUGGCUCCUGCCAGUCUAGACCCCGGGGAACAAUUUAUGCACGUGACCCAGCCACCUAAGACUCUCCUGGCCCAGGUCUGUGGCUGGUAUUCCCAUUGGCUUACUGUUCUGUCUCACUGGGGGCACCCCUACCCUAUACUGUAGAAUUCUUGGAAUGACAGAGCACUUGGGAAGACCCAGCUCACAUGUCAAGAUGUCGCAGAGCACUGUGUUGGACAUGACCAUUCUUUCCAUCCUUGUUGGCUGAAAAUCCGCCCUUAUUUUCAUCCACCGAGCCCCUGAACAGCUUUCCACACAGCUCUUAUGGUGAUGACACAGCAGAAAACAUGGCGAGGCUUCUGCAGUGGCUGCAGAAAAGCCUGUCCCUGGAGCGACCUGGCCGGUCGCGCAAAGAGCUAGCUUCUUAUCAAAGACCUUCCCAACACAGAGAUGGGUUCCCAAGACACCCUGCCAUUUUCAAGGUCAAUCUUGCAGGCCCAAGGACAAAACCGAAGGGAUGCAAAAAUGAGCUUUUUCUCAUUAAUCCCACUUGCAAGACUGAAGAAAACCUUAAAAUACCCAAAAUUCAGGGGAGACAUAGCAACUGAGUCUCAUGGAGUCCACAGGGGCUGCCGACCCACUGUGUCAAGGACAACUGUGAGAGCAGCUUGUUGAGAAAGAAGUCACUCUGCUUUGCCCCUGCAGCGUUUAUUUUGGAAAAAACCCAAGUUUGUGGUUGGUCUGGAAUGGAGUCUAUGACCUAUGUGAGGAGAGUAUGAAAAUAACAAAUAGAGACCCUGUAGCCUAAGGAUCAAGAUUCUAGUUAUCCUCAUAGUCCAGAGGGUCGGACAAGAGGACCAGAAGUUCAAAGUCAUCUUCUGCUGCAUAAAUCUGAGGCUAAGCUAGCUCCAUGAGACCUUGCCUCAGAACCCCAAAGAGACCUUUUCAACCUAGCUUCUUUGGGCCUAUAUGGUGGAGGUGGCCGCAACCAAGAGAAAACGAUAUAUAGAGAAUGGUGUUGGCUUUGUUCUGGCAAAACAGAGAUUCAGACAAAGGCCAGAAGAUAAUGGUGGUGCUCCUGAAUAGAGGUCCCCUGGUUCAAACGUCCAUCUACUGGAACAAGGUCAAUGAUCCUCCAGGGACUCUCAACUCCCUAUCUACGCACUCUCUACAGCAAAACAUCCUGUGCUUGGGAAAGUCUGAGCUGAACCCAGCUCCUGUGGCUUCUGCUCAAUCUUAGUUCCUUGUUUGCAAGAAUGAGAGGCAAACAGCAAGCCUUGUGCAUCUUUGUAUAGAUAGAAAACAACCCUCCCAACCCCCCAUUUUACAGUAUUUGGGUUUGGCUUUUUUUCUCUUUCUUUUCUCUUCUCUUUCUUCUCUUCUCUUCUCUUCUCUUCUCUUCUCUUCUCUUCUCUUCUCUUCUCUUCUCUUCUCUUCUCCUCUCCUCUCCUCUCCUCUCCUCUCCUCUCCUCUCUUCCUCUUCCUCUUCCUCUUCCUCUUCCUCUUCCUCUUCCUCUUCCUCUUCCUCUUCCUCUUCCUCUUCCUCUUCCUCUCCUCUCCCUCUCCUCUCCCUCUCCUCUCUGUGGGAAGCCAACUCCAAGAUGGCGCCGGUUUCCGGUUGCCGUUGUCAUAAACAACACCACUGCGCAGGCGUCAAUUCGAAUUUGGGGCCAACCCCUCCCAAGCGGGUGCAUGCAAAUUGGGUGCUGGCAGACUGACCAACCCCAGGGGGCCACGGAGCCUUCUCCUGUGCUGGGGUACAUAUAAGCAGGGCUCCCUGGGCGCCUGGGGUCCCCGUAGAAGCAUCAAGGCGAUCCUGCAAUAAAGGCUGUUGAGAAGAA
This 2320-nucleotide long non-coding RNA is filed under the name Mus musculus (house mouse). RNAcentral's name for it is "predicted gene, 32391, transcript variant 2 (Gm32391)". The record is from RNAcentral. Lineage: Eukaryota; Metazoa; Chordata; Mammalia; Rodentia; Muridae.